GACGAACGCUGGCGGCGUGCCUAACACAUGCAAGUCGAACGGAAACGCCCUGCCUUUGUGGGCUGCUCGAGUGGCGAACGGGUGAGUAACACGUGAGUAACCUGCCCUUGACCUUGGGAUAACUUAAUGACACUGGGGCUAAUACCGGCUAGGAGUUCCUGCCGCAUGGUGGGGGUUGGAAAGUUUCGGCGGUUGGGGAUGGACUCGCGGCGCAUCGGAUUGUUGGUUGGGUAGUGGCUUACCAAGGCCUUGACCGGUAGCCGGGCUGAGAGGGUGACCGGCCAGAUUGGGACUGAAAUACGACCCAGACUACUACCGGAGGCAAGAGUGGAGAAGGGUACACAAUAGGAGGAGGGCUGGCGUAACAACGCAGUGUGGGGGGAGACAUGAUUGGGGUAGUAAAGCGCUGUUGCUUGUGACGAGACGUGAGUGACGGUAAUGGGUGAAGAAGCACCGGCUAACUACGUG
RNAcentral lists this ribosomal RNA (468 nucleotides) under uncultured bacterium. RNAcentral's name for it is "partial 16S ribosomal RNA". It matches the Rfam family "Bacterial small subunit ribosomal RNA", at positions 28 to 507 of the family's 1533-position model. The record is from RNAcentral.